RNAcentral lists this long non-coding RNA (4202 nucleotides) under Sus scrofa (pig). Its description in RNAcentral is "lncRNA (ENSSSCG00035000099.1)". Lineage: Eukaryota; Metazoa; Chordata; Mammalia; Artiodactyla; Suidae. The record is from RNAcentral.
AUGAUUUACUCUCCACUUAUUUGUAUUUUUCAUUUUCUUUCUGUAAUUGAUUUCUAGUUUCAAACUGUUUUGGUUGGAAAAUAUGCUUGAAAUGAUUUAAAUCUUCUUAAAUUUAUUGAGACUCGUUUUGUGGCCAGGAAUUGAUCUGGCCUGGAGAAUAUUCCAUGUGCCCUUAAAAAGAACAUGUAUUCUGAAGUUUUAGUAUGGAAAGUUUUGUAGAUAUUCAUUAAAUCCAUUUGGUCUGAUGUCUCAUUUAAGGUCAAUGUUUUCAUAUUGAUUUUCUUGCUGGAUGAUCUGCCCAUUGAUAUAGGUGGGGUGGUGAAGUCCCCUACUAUUAUUAUGUUACUAUCAGUUUCUUCUUUCAUGCUUAUUAAUAUGCUGUAUAUAUGUAGAUGCUCCUAUGUUGGGUGCACAUUUAUUUAUAAUUUUUAUAUAUUCUUGUUGGUUGAUCUCUUUAUCAUUAUGUUAUGUCCUUCUUUGUCUCUUAUUUCUUUUGGGUUCCCUCUGUAUGGAAUAUAUUUUCCAUUUCUUCACUUUCAAUUUGUAUCUUUAGGUCUGAAGUGAGUGUCUCAUAGGCAGCAUACAGGUGAGUCUUCUUUUUCAUCCAUUUAGCCACCCUAUGUCUUUUGAACAUUUAGUCUAUUUAUAUUUAAAGUGAUUAUUUAAAGAUAUGUAUUUAUUGCCAUUUUGUUACUUGUUUUCUGGUUUUUUGGAGUACUUCUUCUUUUAGUCCCUUCUUUUGUGAUUUGUUGAUUUUCUUUAGUGUUAUCUUUGGGUUGCAAUCUCUUUUUUUUUUGGCUUUUAUUUUAGGUUUUUGCUUUGUGGUUACCAUGAAAUAGAUUUUUUUUAAAGCAGAUAUUUAAGUUUAAAAAAGCUAAAAGCACUCCCUUUUUUUAUACCCCUCCCCUACUUUUAACAUUUUUGAGAUUGAAUUUUAAAUCAUUAUGGGGAUCCAUUAACUACUUAUUAUAUAUAUAUAUAGUAGAUUUAUGAGAUUUAUGAUAUUACAUUUUUAAGUGGUGAAUUAAUUCUGUUUACAAUACAUUUGCCUUGACCAUUGAGGUUUGUUUUUUUUUUUCUUUUUUUUUUUUUCUUAUUUCUUCUUAUGGCCUUUUCUUUUUCACUUAAAGAUGGCCUUUUAAUAUUUUUUGUAAGGCUUGUUUAGUGGUAAUGAACUCUUUGUUUUUGCUAGUUUGGGAAAUUCUUUCUCUCUCUCUUUUUUUUUAAUCUUUUGGUCUUUUUAGGGCUGCACCUGUAGCAUAUGGAGGUUCCCAGGUUAGGGGUCUAAUAGGAGCUGUAGCUGCUGGCCUAUGCCACAGCCACAGCAAGGUCAGAUCUACCAGAUUCGAGCUGCAUCUGCGACCUACACCACAGCUCCCAGCAACACUGGAUCCUUAACCCACUGAGAGAAGCCAGGGACUGAACCCCAUGGUUCCUAGUUGGAUUUGUUUCCACUGAGCCAUGAUGGGAACUCCCUUUCUCUUUUUUUAAAAAAAAUCUUAUUUUUAUUUUUUUCUAUAUGGCCUCACCUGCUGCAUACAGAAGUUUUGGGGCCAGGAAUUAAAUCUGAGCUGCAGUUGUGACCUAUGCCACAGCUGCAGCAAUGUUAUAUCCUUUAACCCACUGUGCCAGGAUGGGGAUCUAACCCAUGCCUCCACAGUGAACUGAGCUGCUGCAGUCAGGUUCUUAACCCACUGUGCCACAUUGGGAACUCCUAUCUCUCUUUUAAUUCCAAAUGAUAAACUGCCAGUUAGAAUAACUUUGGUUAUAGAUUUUUCUUACUUUCAGCAAUUUAAAUAUGUGAUGCCAUUCCGUUCUGGCCUGCAACUUUUCUGCUAAAAAAUUAGGUGGGGUUUCCUUGUAUGUGACUCUGCUUUUCUCUUGAUGCCUUUCAAAUGUUCAAAUUUUUGUCAUUUUAAUUGCAACAUGUCUUUGUGUGCAUCUUUUUGAGUCCAUCUUGUUCAGGACUCUCUGUGCUCCCGAGACCUGGAUAUCUGUUUUAUUUCCUGGUUGGGGAGGUUUUCUGCCACUAUUUAAUCAAAUAGGUUUUCUAUAAUUUUCUCUCUUAUCCUUUUGUGACUCCUAUAAAUGCAAAUAUUAGUAUACUUAAUGUUAUCUUGAAGGUCCCCUAAACUUCAUUUUUUUAUAAAUUAUUUUCUUUUUGCUGAUCUUAUUGGCUUAUUUCCCCUAUUCUGUCUUCUGGGUUAUUUUUAAUUUCUUCUGUUAAUGAUUUUUCUAGUGUAAUUUUCAUUCCAGUUGUCAUAUUCUCCAGCUCUAAUGUGUCUUUUUCUAUAAUUUAUUUAGAAAUAUUCUUUUUAAAAGUUCCCUUUAUGUACCUCUGUUACUUUCCUGAGUUUGCCCAGCACAGGCCAGGGCUUUUCCUGGGGUAUGCCAAUGACUUCUUGGUGGAGGGAUGGAGGGAUGUGGUUGGAGCCAGAACCAGACCUUGGUAGGUCAGCUAGAGUUCCAGGCACUUUUCGGUCUGCUGCCUCUACUUCAUAUCUAUGUUGCUUUAUAUACUUAAUUGUAGAAAGAGCUAUUCUUAUAGUCUUUAGGGUAUUCUCAUAGUUUUUAUAUAUGUAUUUAUAGCAUUGUGUGUCUAUGUGUGGAAGUGAGCUUCAGGUUUUCCUAUUCUGCUAUCUUGACCCCCUCUCUGCUCAUAAAAUAUCUUCUUUUUCUUUUUAUCCCCAGGACCAGCAUAGUGUAUUCUGGAUGAAAAAUAUAUUUAAUAUUCUCCCUUUCUCCUCUUCUCUUGGUCCCCAUUUUCUAUCCCUUCCCCCCUACACAAACACAUUCCAUUUUGUUGAUAAAACCCAGGCUUCUUGGUUGGCUCUGUUCAGGUUCUAAAAGAAUAAAGCAUAGCACACAGCCCAUAGCAACAACUUUGGCUGUUAGGAUAUAUUUUCACAGUUCAAAGAACUAGAAUGCUUUUAACUGUCCUAAAAAAUGCAAAGUAAAUUGGUUUGAACAUGAAUGUACAGAGACUUUUGCUUUCAUGGUGCACUAUGAAAGAUUGUGUACUUCUUUAAAAGUAAAAUGUCAUCUACACAAUGAUAUGUCCCUUUAAUAAACCUAUUAAUAUCAGGAAGUAAUUCAUCCUGUGCUUUGUAUCUGGCAUUAAAUCUAGGCCAAGUACAGUGUAGAGAGGCUACCAGUGUGUAUCUCAGGAUAAAACAAACACAGAAUAUUGGAGGUGGAAAGGAUCUUAGAGACUACUUAUUUCAAUGUUUUUAUUUUAUAUGUGUGUAAACUGAAGUCCAGUAAGAUUACCUGGUUUGUCAAAACUCCUCCAAGGUAUAUGUUUAUAUGUCACUUCAUCCCAUUAAAAGUAUGAGGAAGGACUAAAGUAGAAUGAAAGAAGCAUAUCUAGACAAUAGUUUGUGUUAGUGAACUUGACCUUAAUGAUUCAACCACUAAGAUUAACUUCUCCAGGGAGAACUCUGCAGAACUAAUAGGUUUAUAAAUAUGAUGGCCAGCAGGGCUAUUUCACUCAACAGUAGAUUGUUGCUUACCUGUUAUAACUUCAAAAUGUGAAGAGGGUUUCCACUAAAAAUUACUCUGCCAACUGAACUUUGAGCUUUCUUUAGCAGGCAAUACCAAUUUUAUUCUAUAAUUAAGAGCUUAAGAUAAAAAUAUAUUUAGAAUGAUUCCUUUUGUUUUUUUCCUUCUUUUAAAGGGUCAUCAGGUAUUAGAGGGAGGUGAGUAACAAAAAUGACCCUAGGGAAAUCCAAAGAUCACUGGAUAAGUAAGCAUUUAAACAAGCUAGGAGGAGUGGGACAAGUCUGCUGUUUAAUGGGAAAAAUUCUUAGAUUUGACUUCUGGUACAUAGAAGCACACUGAGAGCCAGAACUGAUAACUGGCUGACAGCUCAAACAGGUACUUCUGAGGUAGGCAUGUGUGGACUUACAUCUGGUCUAGGCUAUGUAACUUUAGAAAAUUCAAUUAACUUUUCUGAGCCUUAGUUUCAUAUUCUAUAAACUGUGAAUGAUUUCACAGAACAGGGUAAGGUAUUAAAAUUAAUACAAGUAAGGCAACACAUAGCAAUUGCUAAAUCCUUAAAAUGUUAGUCAUUUUUUCCCCCAUUUUCUAUUCUUACUUCCUGUGCAAUGGCUGGAUACAAAAUGCUUGAAGACAUAUAAUAUUUCCAAAUAGUCCCUGGAUACAGGGUGAAUAAGAGAUACAAAAACUGCAUGAUUAGGAAG